This 21-nucleotide non-coding RNA is filed under the name Arabidopsis thaliana (thale cress). The record is from RNAcentral. Lineage: Eukaryota; Viridiplantae; Streptophyta; Magnoliopsida; Brassicales; Brassicaceae.
UUAUUUAUUUUGUGAGAUUGC